RNAcentral lists this ribosomal RNA (371 nucleotides) under uncultured bacterium. Its description in RNAcentral is "bacterial SSU rRNA". It matches the Rfam family "Bacterial small subunit ribosomal RNA", at positions 338 to 727 of the family's 1533-position model. The record is from RNAcentral.
CCUACGGGAGGCAGCAGUGGGGAAUAUUGGACAAUGGGGGCAACCCUGAUCCAGCAAUGCCGCGUGAGUGAUGAAGGCCUUAGGGUUGUAAAGCUCUUUUACCAGGGAUGAUAAUGACAGUACCUGGAGAAUAAGCUCCGGCUAACUCCGUGCCAGCAGCCGCGGUAAUACGGAGGAGCUAGCGUUGUUCGGAAUUACUGGGCGUAAAGCGCACGUAGGCGGUUACUCAAGUCAGAGGUGAAAGCCCGGGGCUCAACCCCGGAACUGCCUUUGAAACUAGGUAACUAGAAUCCUGGAGAGGUGAGUGGAAUUCCGAGUGUAGAGGUGAAAUUCGUAGAUAUUCGGAAGAACACCAGUGGCGAAGGCGGCUC